RNAcentral lists this ribosomal RNA (393 nucleotides) under uncultured bacterium. Its description in RNAcentral is "partial 16S ribosomal RNA". It matches the Rfam family "Bacterial small subunit ribosomal RNA", at positions 523 to 918 of the family's 1533-position model. The record is from RNAcentral.
AUACGGAGGAUCCGAGCGUUAUCCGGAUUUAUUGGGUUUAAAGGGUGCGCAGGCGGGAGAUUAAGUCGGCGGUGAAAUUUUGCAGCUCAACUGUAAAAGUGCCUUCGAAACUGGUUUCCUUGAGUGUAGAUGAAGUAGGCGGAAUUUGUGGUGGAGCGGUGAAAUGCAUAGAUAUCACGAGGAACUCCGAUUGCGCAGGCAGCUUACUAAACUACUACUGACGCUCAGGCACGAAGGCGUGGGGAUCAAACAGGAUUAGAUACCCUGGUAGUCCACGCAGUAAACGAUGAUUACUAGCUGUUUGCGAUACAAUGUAAGCGGCUGAGCGAAAGCGUUAAGUAAUCCACCUGGGGAGUACGGUCGCAAGAAUGAAACUCAAAGGAAUUGACGGGG